Molecule: ribosomal RNA, 305 nt
Filed under: uncultured bacterium
Lineage: Bacteria
Description: bacterial SSU rRNA
Rfam family: Bacterial small subunit ribosomal RNA
Source: RNAcentral
CCUACGGGAGGCAGCAGUGGGGAAUCUUGCGCAAUGGGCGAAAGCCUGACGCAGCCAUGCCGCGUGAAUGAUGAAGGUCUUAGGAUUGUAAAAUUCUUUCACCGGGGACGAUAAUGACGGUACCCGGAGAAGAAGCCCCGGCUAACUUCGUGCCAGCAGCCGCGGUAAUACGAAGGGGGCUAGCGUUGCUCGGAAUUACUGGGCGUAAAGGGAGCGUAGGCGGAUAGUUUAGUCAGAGGUGAAAGCCCAGGGCUCAACCUUGGAAUUGCCUUUGAUACUGGCUAUCUUGAGUAUGGGAGAGGUUA